GAUGAACGCUGGCGGCGUGCUUUAACACAUGCAAGUCGAGCGGAGUAUUUAAACGGAAGUCUUCGGAUGGAAGGUUAGAUAUUUAGCGGCGGACGGGUGAGUAAACGCGUGGGCAACCUGCCCCAUACCGGGGGAUAACAGCCAGAAAUGGCUGCUAAUACCGCAUAAGCGCACAGCGCCCCAUGGCGCGGUGUGAAAAACUCCGGUGGUAUGGGGAUGGGCCCGCGUCUGAUUAGGUAGUUGGCGGGGUAACGGCCCACCAAGCCGACGAUCAGUAGCCGACCUGAGAGGGUGACCGGCCACAUUGGGACUGAGACACGGCCCAAACUCCUACGGGAGGCAGCAGUGGGGAAUAUUGCACAAUGGGGGAAACCCUGAUGCAGCGACGCCGCGUGAGCGAAGAAAGUAUUUCGGUAUGUAAAAGCUCUAUCAGCAGGGAAGAAAUGACGGUACCCUGACCUAGGAAGCCCCGGGCUAACUACGU
Molecule: ribosomal RNA, 484 nt
Filed under: uncultured bacterium
Lineage: Bacteria
Description: bacterial SSU rRNA
Rfam family: Bacterial small subunit ribosomal RNA
Source: RNAcentral